GGUACAGCAGAGACAACCAUUAGCUAUGAUCUCUAAAAAAAUUUGGAUGGUUUCUCCAGUCGGGGUUAUAAGUGUUCAAGUAUUGAUCAUUUUCUGAUCUACGAGCUUUUUGGGUUUGAGCUUGCUGGACCUGCUCGUGCACAAACUCAGAAAAUUGAGGUGUGGUUGGGCAUUCACUAACAAAAUGGGUCAGAUUUGCACACAAUACACAAACAUCUUGGACUGAGUUAGGUAGAAUCAGAGAGUGUCUAAUAUU
This 256-nucleotide long non-coding RNA is filed under the name Elaeis guineensis (African oil palm). RNAcentral's name for it is "long non-coding RNA (EGUI_LNC039654)". The record is from RNAcentral. Lineage: Eukaryota; Viridiplantae; Streptophyta; Magnoliopsida; Arecales; Arecaceae.